This 1026-nucleotide long non-coding RNA is filed under the name Oryctolagus cuniculus (rabbit). Its description in RNAcentral is "lncRNA (ENSOCUG00000035165.1)". Lineage: Eukaryota; Metazoa; Chordata; Mammalia; Lagomorpha; Leporidae. The record is from RNAcentral.
GUAUAGCCCCUCGGAGUACUAUCCUUUCAUUAGCAAUUUGAGUGACUGUAUCAUAAAGUUUAUAUCUGUGUGUAUAUAUAUAUAUAUGUGUGUGUGUGUAUACAUACAUGUACUUGUAUGUUCAUUGCAUAUAUUUGCAUAUAUACAUAUAAGUGUGUAUGUAGAUAUGUUACAUACCUGUGUGUUCCUGACUGCAAGUUAGGUAUUAUUAUCCCCAUUAGCAAGUGAUAGAGUAUCCAUCUGAUAGUUACCUCAAGCAAUGGGAGUUUGUAUUUCUAGCUGACAGGAACUCCAGAAAGAGGAAGUUGCAGUUUCUGGUUAGGUAGCUCAGUUUUUUACAGGUUGGUAUCUGUAGUUUUCUUAGACUUUUCCUCAUGGCUUCCACAGAUCCAGGCAGCAUCCCUGAAUUCCAAGCCAGACCAAGGAAGGAGAUACACCUAUUCCAUCUGACUCUCUUGUUGGAAAGAUGGUGGACUCUACGGUUUCCCUCUGAAGUUGUGUUGGGAAGAUCAAUGUCUCCUGGCUGUCCCUUGCUGCAAAGAAGGCUGAGGAACAUUUGAAAAUCACAUUAUAAAUAGAUCUGUUUUGAAGAUACCAGUGAUUUCACAAUCAGCUCAUAUAAUUUCUGAAAAUUGGACAAGAGGUUUUUGAUGACCGGCUUCACCACACUGCGGGUAGGUACUUUAAUUGUCUCAUUUUGAGCCACCCUGAUUAUUUGCUUUCUUAAGAAGUAAAGCUUCUCUUCUUUGGGACAAUUAUGUCUUCACUUUCACUGACUGCACCUCGUCCUUUCAGGUACUGUGCUGAUUUCAAUCAUUCAGUUUUGUUUGCUGCUUCUCUGAUUUCUCUGUAGUAGGGAAACUGUGAAGAGGAAGUGGAGUAAGAGGGAGGGGUGGUGGAGAAGUCUUCCCACUAGAAGACUUACCCUUCCCUCAAAUCUAGAAAUAGAUAACAUGCUUUAAUGCCAGAGUGUGAUCUGUACAACUGUGUGAUCCUGUCCCAGUUUGUUUUUCCAUUCUGGUUGAU